RNAcentral lists this ribosomal RNA (306 nucleotides) under uncultured Rhodocyclaceae bacterium. Its description in RNAcentral is "bacterial SSU rRNA". It matches the Rfam family "Bacterial small subunit ribosomal RNA", at positions 1075 to 1382 of the family's 1533-position model. Lineage: Bacteria; Pseudomonadati; Pseudomonadota; Betaproteobacteria; Rhodocyclales; Rhodocyclaceae. The record is from RNAcentral.
UUGGGUUAAGUCCCGCAACGAGCGCAACCUUGUCAUUAGUUGCCAUCAUUUUGGUUGGGCACUCUAAUGAGACUGCCGGUGACAAACCGGAGGAAGGUGGGGAUGACGUCAAGUCCUCAUGGCCCUUAUGGGUAGGGCUUCACACGUCAUACAAUGGUCGGUACAGAGGGUUGCCAACCCGCGAGGGGGAGCUAAUCCCACAAAGCCGAUCGUAGUCCGGAUCGCAGUCUGCAACUCGACUGCGUGAAGUCGGAAUCGCUAGUAAUCGUGGAUCAGCAUGUCACGGUGAAUACGUUCCCGGGUCUU